This 313-nucleotide unclassified non-coding RNA is filed under the name air metagenome. Its description in RNAcentral is "partial contains small subunit ribosomal RNA, internal transcribed spacer 1, and 5.8S ribosomal RNA". The stretch from base 1 to 46 matches the Rfam family "Eukaryotic small subunit ribosomal RNA", at positions 1786 to 1831 of the family's 1831-position model. The record is from RNAcentral.
AAGUCGUAACAAGGUUUCCGUAGGUGAACCUGCGGAAGGAUCAUUAUUGAAUAAACCUGAUGUGGUUGUAGCUGGCUUUUCGAAGUAUGUGCUCACCCGUCAUCUUUAUCUCUCCACCUGUGCACCUUUUGUAGUCUUGGAUACCUCUCGAGGAAACUCGGAUUUGGGAUCGCUGUGCUGUACAAGUCGGCUUUCCUUGCAUUUCCAAGACUAUGUUUUUAUAUACACCAAAGAAUGUUUAAAGAAUGUCAUCAAUGGGAACUUGUUUCCUAUAAAAACUAUACAACUUUCAGCAACGGAUCUCUUGGCUCUC